GCAAACUUGGUCAUUUAGAGGAAGUAAAAGUCGUAACAAGGUUUCCGUAGGUGAACCUGCGGAAGGAUCAUUACAGAAAUAGUCUUAGAGAAGUGGCUUGUAUGCUUGGGAAACCAAGUGUACAACACUUUGAUAAUUCUAACUCUAUCAUUAUCCCCCCCUUAUAUUGACUAUGUGAACUUUGACACGAGUUUGAAAGUAAGUACCCCUAUCUUUGAGAUAGGGGCUCUGAACACUCGUGCUCUUUUUUCUAUACCACUUUACACCAUAAUGUUAUAUGAUGUUGGGCAAUAUAAUAAGCAAUGAAAGAAUAACUUUCAGCAAUGGAUCUCUUGGCUCUCGCAUCGAUGAAGAACGCAGC
This 361-nucleotide unclassified non-coding RNA is filed under the name uncultured fungus. Its description in RNAcentral is "partial contains small subunit ribosomal RNA, internal transcribed spacer 1, and 5.8S ribosomal RNA". The stretch from base 1 to 73 matches the Rfam family "Eukaryotic small subunit ribosomal RNA", at positions 1759 to 1831 of the family's 1831-position model. The record is from RNAcentral. Lineage: Eukaryota; Fungi.